CAGUAGCCGCGGUAAUACGAAGGGGGCUAGCGUUGUUCGGAUUUACUGGGCGUAAAGGGCGCGUAGGCGGGCGAAUAAGUCAGGGGUGAAAUCCCAAGGCUCAACCUUGGAACUGCCUUUGAUACUGUUUGUCUUGAGUUCGAGAGAGGUAAGUGGAACUGCGAGUGUAGAGGUGAAAUUCGUAGAUAUUCGCAAGAGCACCAGUGGCGAAGGCGGCUUACUGGCUCGAAACUGACGCUGAGGCGCGAAAGCGUGGGGAGCAAACAGGAUUAGAUACCCCUGUAGUCCCUGUCUCUUAUAC
RNAcentral lists this ribosomal RNA (301 nucleotides) under uncultured bacterium. Its description in RNAcentral is "partial 16S ribosomal RNA". It matches the Rfam family "Bacterial small subunit ribosomal RNA", at positions 509 to 807 of the family's 1533-position model. The record is from RNAcentral.